CCUACGGGUGGCAGCAGUGAGGAAUAUUGGUCAAUGGGCGCGAGCCUGAACCAGCCAAGUAGCGUGAAGGAUGACUGUCCUACGGAUUGUAAACUUCUUUUAUAAGGGAAUAAAGUGAGGCACGCGUGCCUUUUUGUAUGUACUUUAUGAAUAAGGAUCGGCUAACUCCGUGCCAGCAGCCGCGGUAAUACGGAGGAUCCGAGCGUUAUCCGGAUUUAUUGGGUUUAAAGGGUGCGUAGAUGGGUUGUUAAGUCAGUUGUGAAAGUCUGGGGCUCAACCGUAAAAUUGCAGUUGAUACUGGCAGUCUCGAGUAGAGUUGAGGUAGGCGGAAUUCGUGGUGUAGCGGUGAAAUGCUUAGAUAGCACGAAGAACUCCGAUUGCGAAGGCAGCUUACUAAACUGACACUGACAUUGAUGCUCGAAAGUGUGGGUAUCAAACAGGAUUAGAUACCCGGGUAGUC
RNAcentral lists this ribosomal RNA (460 nucleotides) under uncultured bacterium. RNAcentral describes it as "partial 16S ribosomal RNA". It matches the Rfam family "Bacterial small subunit ribosomal RNA", at positions 338 to 795 of the family's 1533-position model. The record is from RNAcentral.